This 477-nucleotide ribosomal RNA is filed under the name uncultured bacterium. RNAcentral's name for it is "bacterial SSU rRNA". It matches the Rfam family "Bacterial small subunit ribosomal RNA", at positions 329 to 800 of the family's 1533-position model. The record is from RNAcentral.
GAGUGUCCUCCUACGGGAGGCAGCAGUGGGGAAUUUUGGACAAUGGGCGCAAGCCUGAUCCAGCCAUGCCGCGUGUCUGAAGAAGGCCUUCGGGUUGUAAAGGACUUUUGUCAGGGAAGAAAAGGGCGGGGUUAAUACCCCUGUCUGAUGACGGUACCUGAAGAAUAAGCACCGGCUAACUACGUGCCAGCAGCCGCGGUAAUACGUAGGGUGCGAGCGUUAAUCGGAAUUACUGGGCGUAAAGCGGGCGCAGACGGUUACUUAAGCAGGAUGUGAAAUCCCCGGGCUCAACCUGGGAACUGCGUUCUGAACGGGGUGACUAGAGUGUGGCAGAGGGAGGUAGAAUUCCACGUGUAGCAGUGAAAUGCGUGGAGGUGUGGAGGAAUACCGAUGGCGAGGGCAGCCUCCUGGGAUAACACUGACGUUCAUGCCCGAAAGCGUGGGUAGCAAACAGGAUUAGAUACGGUAGUCCUGAGU